Molecule: ribosomal RNA, 292 nt
Filed under: uncultured bacterium
Lineage: Bacteria
Description: partial 16S ribosomal RNA
Rfam family: Bacterial small subunit ribosomal RNA
Source: RNAcentral
GUGUCAGCAGCCGCGGUAAGACAGAGGCCACAAGCGUUAGGCGGAAUCACUGGGCUUAAAGCGUGUGUAGGCGGACUUCUAAGUACCUUGUGAAAUCCCACGGCUCACCCGUGGAACUGCUUGGUAUACUGGGAGUCUUGAGGUGUCCAGGGGCAGCCGGAACAAGCGGUGGAGCGGUGAAAUGCGUAGAUAUCGCUUGGAACGCCCGCGGUGAAAACGGGCUGCUGGGGACAAUCUGACGCUGAGACACGAAAGCCAGGGGAGCAAACGGGAUUAGAUACCCUCGUAGUCC